This is a long non-coding RNA of Daucus carota subsp. sativus, 5704 nucleotides long. RefSeq lists it as uncharacterized. Lineage: Eukaryota; Viridiplantae; Streptophyta; Magnoliopsida; Apiales; Apiaceae. The record is from RefSeq and is a predicted model, not a curated record. The transcript has 6 exons.
UUCAUACUACAUUUGUAAACACUUUUAUUUUUAAUGCAAAUCUUCUUUUAGCCUAAUCUUGCAUUGUCUCUACUCUCUUUCUACAAGAGAAAUGAUUCUUAGUACCACCCUAUAUGCUUAAGGGCUUUUGGGAAAAGAAGAUCUUAUGAUUAUAAUUAGUGUAGAUCUUAUAAUUGUUUUAAUUAAUCGUUAAAGCUCUUUUAAAUCCUAACACAAAAAUAAUUUGUGUGGGGGUUUAAACAUUCAGAUUUUAUACAUUAUUUAAUGUUAAUGUUGCAUUCGACUUAAGAUAAUAUAUAUAGUUUUUAUGAUAAUUACACUAAUCGAGUUGCUCUGUUUUCAAAAUCCCAAAACACACCUCCCCUGUUUUCAUUUUAAAACCCCUGUUUUCUUUCCAUUUGAAACCCCACCUCCUUGUUCUCACCGAGUUGCAGCCAGCUGGGUAGUCCUGUUUUGCCGAGUUGACUCGCUGCGGUGUCGAUUUUAGUUCCCCGUCGAGUCUAGUACCGAGUUUAGUGCAUACCGAGUCGACCCUGUUCUGUUUUUAGUCGCAAGUAUUAGUUUCCGAGUCAAUGAAUUCAAAAGGAUGGCUAGUGGAGGAGUCGUUUGUAACUUUCUCGCCAUUAUAAUAUUGAAGAUUUGAAGAUGGGCUGAAGAUGGAGGUAUAGCUAGGGAACUGUGGUCUCCCCUGACAGCUGAUAUGAUAUGGAAUGAAAACGAACCUCUUGAUGCCGAAAUUAAUAAAUGAUCUACAUUUUCGGGAACGUAUUUAUAUCUUCAAUAAAUGAAAAAUUAAACUGAACCAAAGAUAACAAUUUUGGGGCUUAAAAAAUGGAAACGGUAUAGAUAUCACAAGAAAUUUAAAAAAAAAAAUAUGUCAUAUUUUAAUUAGCAGAAUUGAUGUAUAAAAAAAUAUCCAAUAUAUUUAUUAAUAUGUAACUGAUAACAAAUUGACACGUUAUUCUCCUUAAUAAAAUAAGAGUCUGUUUGAGAAUCCUGUUAAAAAUUGCUGUGCUUUGAGAAAAAGUGUUGGUAAAAUAAGUGUUAUUGUAAAUAUGAGAUGAUUGUUUGGUAAUUUUUUUUGUGAAAUUUGCUUAUUUUGAAUUAUAAUAUUUAAAAAGACAUGUUUUUGGCGAGGUUUGAAAGUGAAAUUUAUGAAAAUUUCCUGCAAAAGCUCAAAAUUUUUAGUUAAAAAUUGCUAUUCAAAAAAGCUAAUUUUAAACAUGCUUUUUUGCAAAAAGCUUCUCAGUAAAAGCAAUAUGAAACGAUAUGAUAAGUGGAGGAAAGGGAUGAGUUAGAAAUUAUGACAUGACAACAAAAAAAAUACUAAAUACGAAUAAAGUAAAAGAAAUAUGAAAAAAGAAAAGUAUUCGUUUUAAGAACUACAGUAGUAUUUAACACAAGCUGUUGAUCUAAUGUCUUUUUUAAGAGCAGACAGGCAGGGGUAGAAUGAAUUGAUUAUUCCAUGAGGAAAUUUGUUAGAAAAUGUUUAGAGUCUCUUUGGAUUGAUCUAAAAUUAUAUUUACGAUGUAUGAUUAUUUUCUAUGAUUAUUUCUGUGAUAUAUAUUUAAUUUAGAUAAUUUUCAAUCGCAUCUCUAAUUUUUUAAAUUUUAUAAUUAAAAUUAGAUAAAUAGCAUUAUAGAUAAAAAUCAUAGGGUAUAUGUAUAAAAUUAUUCUUUCCAAUCUCAAAUUUUUCUAUUUGAAAAUUUCACCAAACUAUUUUAUAUUGGUUAUAUUUUUUAAUAUCUAGAGACUUUUAUCAAGAUCUCACAUUUCCUAUCACUAUAGUGAAAAUAAUAUUGUUAUAUUCGUACCAAUUUGAAAUAAUAACAACUUAUUAUUUAAUAAAUACACCAAACUUUUAUAGCCAAUAUGAUCAGAAAACAACGCUAUAAAUAACUUAUUUUACAUAAUUAAAAUUGAAUAUAUUAUUUUGACCUUGGAAAUGCUCUUGAAUCGUGUGUUUGGACAAUUAUGUAUUACUUGAGAAUUAUUAAAAAUAUUAUAAUAAAAUACAUUUGAUAUCUUAUUUAUUUAUUUGUCAAUAUUGAUUUUUAAUAAAAAACUAUUAAAACACGGUUGAUCAAAAAAUUAAGUUCUGCUGAUUUCAGAUUUAUUUUUAAUCUUAAAUCUGAAUCUUAUUUAUUAAAUAAAUAAAUAUUAUUCAACUUAAAUUGACACUAUUUUUAUGUACUUGGGAUUGACACUAUUUUCAUGUACUUGGGAUUGUAGGCUGCGUUUGCGAUCAUUGUGCAAGACUUAGAUAAUAAAAUGUGUUUUCACAAAAUUAUCUACACUACUAGAAAAGCGGGCAUUUCCGACCAAAAUUUCCGACCGACCAAAGUGGUCGGAAAAAAGGCGAGCAUUUCCGACCGACGUACCGACCAAACGAGAUCGGUCGUAAAAAUUCGGGUCAUUUACGACCGCCAUUACCGACCGCACAAAAUCGGUCGGUUAUAAGGGUCGUGGGUCCCGCUCAGCAACAUCCUUCAGCUGACAUGGACGCCACGUCGUUAAAACCGACCGACACAUUUCCGACCGCCUGUGGUCAUUUCCGACCGCCUAGACUAGUUUAAAAUAAUUGGUCAACUUCUUACUUGUUGUCGCCUUGUGAUUGGCUGAGUGGGGACGUGGUGGAGCCCAGCUUUAUUUCCGACCGACGGCGGUCGGAAAUGACUUGCUUCGUUUCCGACCGAAUUAAAACCCUGGCGGUCGGUUUUGACUUCUUAGAAAAACAAUAAAUUCUAUUCGACUAAGUAAACUAUUAAAAAAAACUAAAAACAUUGCAUAUCCAGAAAACCGACCACAUUCAAUAUAUUUCCGACCAAACUUAUAAUUUUAACACAGAAUACCGACCACAUGCAACACAUUUCCGACAAAACUCAUAAUUUUAACACAGAAAACCGACCAAAUUUAAACCAUUUCCGACCAGUCACUCAAGUGCAGAAAACCGACCAAUAAAACCGUCAUUUCCGACCAAUGUAAAACCUUGGCAGUCGGUUAUGACUUGUGAGAAAAAUAAUAAAAUUUUAUUCGGCUAAGAAAACUAUUAAAAAAAUUGAAAAAUAUUGAAACUAACUUUUAAUCAGUUAAUAAUUUAAUAAAAAAUUAUUCAUCACUUAAUAUUUGAUUUUUAAAAUAUUUUUAUUUUUAUAACAAAUUAUAAAUACUAACUAACUAAUUUCAAAUUAAUUAUUCAAACAACAGAAAAAUGUAGAAUCUUUGUGACAUGGUCUAAUUUAGGGUACUAAUCAUAAUAGCAAAAUAAGAAAAAUAUAAAAAAAUUAUAAAGACGCUUUUCUAGUUACGAAUCAUGCAUUGCCUUGAAUGUCGGAGUUCAGGGUUUGGAUUUUAUCAGAAGUUAUCCUAGGUUGUACACUUCCGAAAUAUCAAUUUGUUUUUUUGGCGAUCCAACCGUACGGAUCGUAAAUUAAGUACUCAUCGUAGUUAUAUACCAAAAAUCAAGUCAAUAUGAUUUCAUUUGUUGAGACAUUAUAACGAAAAUAUUAUGUUAUUCUUAAAUAUAGACGUAGAGUUAUUUUGAUAUAAAAAAAUAAAUUUGUUUUUUAGGCGAUCCAACCGUACAGAUCGUAAAUUACGUACUCAUCGUAGUUAUAUACCAAAAAUCAAUUCAAUAGGAUUUUAUUUGUUUAGAUAUUAUAACAAAAAUAUUAUGUUAUUCUUAAAUAUAGACGUAGGGUUAUUUUUUUACCAAAAGAUAAAUUUGUUUUUUAGGCGAUCCAACCGUACGGAUCGUAAAUUAAGUACUCAUCGUAGUUAUAUACCAAAAAUCAAGUCAAUAGGAUUUUAUUUGUUGAGAUAUUAUAGCGAAAAUAUUAGGUUAUACUUAAAUAUGAACGUAGGGUUAUUUUUUUAAGAAAAUAAUUAAUUAAUUUAAAUGAUUCAACCAUACAGAUAUGAAUAUAAUUACUUAACUUAUAUUGGUCCUUAAAAUCAAUCAUUUUGAACAUUAGUUGAAGGAAUAUUAUACUGAAAAUUGAUUUUUUAUUUAUUUUAUUUUGUAAAAUAAAGAUAGGUAUAUAUAUAAGUCCCUUCAAUUUUAACUUAAUGUUGUGGCUGGUCUGAUUGUUGAGCACUGUACUUGGUACUUAGUGGUCCCGGGUUGAAAUCCGCGUGAGGUUUUAUUUUUAGCUUUCCCGGGUUCUUUUUUCACGAAAAGUUAAAACCCCUGCCCAGCUUAAACAACCGUGUUUUGCGUGUAUACGGCCGUCUCGAUCUAUUAUCUCCCCCAGCUCUCUCCUCUCUCUGGUCUUGUCUCUCUCAACUCUCUCUCUCGCAUCUCUCUACGUUCUCUCUCGACUCUCUAUCUCUCUGUAACCCUCUCUCUCUGUAAGCUCUCUCUCCGCCUAUCUCUCUAUGUGCAUCUCUCUCUCCUUGUACACUAUAUGCUUAUUUUAUGGUUUAUCAUAGGGUUUAUACUUACACAUGUGUUAUAGUUUAUGCUCUAUAUGUAUAGUUUAUGGUCGUAUCUCUCUCUGUACACUAUGCUUAUUUUAGGGUUUUGAUUUUUUUUGGCUCUGAUUUGUUAUAAUUUGCUUUAAUCUGGUUCCUAUAUGUUUAUAUUUGCUUUAAUCUGGAUGAAGUUUAGUUGUUUUAGUUUUAUUAUCUGUUUAUAUGAUUUUUUUUGCUAUGUUUUUGUAUCUGGCCUAAUCUGUCAGGUGCUUGCUCUGUUUGUGUUUGUGUUUUAGUUGUUUUGUAUGUUUGUGUGUUAUUAUGUGACUUGUCUGACCUGCAUUUGUAUCAUCUACCUGCAUUUGUAUCAUCUACAUCUAAAACUGGAAGUUAUACGAUAUACAAGGAUGUUGAGCAUAGUAAUGUCCAAUAACCAGAGACAAAAUCUGGAUUCCUAUAGUUUGUACUCGAACAUAACUUGAGUUUUCAUUUAUUCCUUUGUGAAGCCAUUGUUAGCUUUGGGACAAUUUCCAGCACACAAAAGAAGGAAGCUGAGGAACUUGGCAUAGAUUGCUUCUCUUGGGAGGAGUUUUCGCUUCUGGGACAUCUGGAUCAUGAACUACCUACUAGACAGAGAACUGAUACUUGUACAAUAAUGUAUACUAGUGGAACAAUAGGAGAGCCAAUGGGAGUCAUUCUAAGUAAUGGGUCCUUCAUUGGAGAAGUUUUGUCAAUGCACCAACUAUUUGUGGAAAAUGAUAAACCUGCCUUACUGAAAGCUGUGGUGGAUGCUUCGCCUCGAUAGCCAAUGUGAUCUCUAUGCUAGGAACUGUUGGUGUGCCCAUGACAACCAUUGAAGCGAGGCUUGAGUCAGUGCCUGAGAUGUCUUAUGAUGCUUUAGCCGCUGUGCCACGUGGAGAAAUCUGUCUGCGAGGAACCACAUUGUUUUCUGGGUACCACAAGCAGCAGGAUCUUACUAACGAGACCCUUGUAGAUGGAUGGCUUCAUACAGGCAAUUGCGGUGGCAUCUAAGGAUGUCACCAAUGGUGAGAGUUCGGAGAAUGAGGUUGAUGGGGAUGAUGAUGGUGAUGGCGAUGAGGAAGAUUGAAAUGAAGCUACCUAGCUAGAUGCAUUAUUGGUAGGGAUGCUGAUUUUUUUAAAACAUUGCUUUUGGCUUUUGAUUGUUCAGCUGUAACGUAUAUGAUUGUUGGCUUUUGUUGGCUUUUUGGCUGAUCGUUCAGCUGUAACAUUUAUGUCGUACUGAAUUUUAUAACUGUUCUUUUAUAAAUAU